Molecule: ribosomal RNA, 226 nt
Filed under: uncultured bacterium
Lineage: Bacteria
Description: partial 16S ribosomal RNA
Rfam family: Bacterial small subunit ribosomal RNA
Source: RNAcentral
UACGUAGGGUGCAAGCGUUGUCCGGAAUUAUUGGGCGUAAAGAGCUCGUAGGCGGUCUGUCGCGUCUGCUGUGAAAACUCAGGGCUUAACCCUGAGCUUGCAGUGGGUACGGGCAGACUAGAGUGCGGUAGGGGAGACUGGAAUUCCUGGUGUAGCGGUGAAAUGCGCAGAUAUCAGGAGGAACACCGGUGGGCCGAAGGCGGGGUCUCUGGGCCGUAACUGACGC